CUGCUGCGACCCGGCGUGCGGACGUGGGUGCGGCGCGUUUGUCUUUUGUCGACCGCGCGCGUGUGCGCGCAG
This 72-nucleotide small nucleolar RNA is filed under the name Leishmania infantum JPCM5. The record is from RNAcentral. Lineage: Eukaryota; Euglenozoa; Kinetoplastea; Trypanosomatida; Trypanosomatidae.